GACGAACGCUGGCGGCGUGCUUAACACAUGCAAGUCGAACGGAAAGGCCCUGCUUGCAGGGUACUCGAGUGGCGAACGGGUGAGUAACACGUGGGUGAUCUGCCCUGCACUUCGGGAUAAGCCGGGGAAACUGGGUCUAAUACCGGAUAGGAGCCAUUUUUAGUGUGAUGGUUGGAAAGUUUUUUCGGUGUAGGAUGAGCUCGCGGCCUAUCAGCUUGUUGGUGGGGUAAUGGCCUACCAAGGCGGCGACGGGUAGCCGGCCUGAGAGGGUGGACGGCCACAUUGGGACUGAGAUACGGCCCAGACUCCUACGGGAGGCAGCAGUGGGGAAUAUUGCACAAUGGGCGCAAGCCUGAUGCAGCGACGCCGCGUGGGGGAUGACGGCCUUCGGGUUGUAAACUCCUUUCGCUAGGGACGAAGCUUUUUGUGACGGUACCUAGAGAAGAAGCACCGGCUAACUACGUG
RNAcentral lists this ribosomal RNA (465 nucleotides) under uncultured bacterium. RNAcentral's name for it is "partial 16S ribosomal RNA". It matches the Rfam family "Bacterial small subunit ribosomal RNA", at positions 28 to 507 of the family's 1533-position model. The record is from RNAcentral.